Molecule: ribosomal RNA, 455 nt
Filed under: uncultured bacterium
Lineage: Bacteria
Description: bacterial SSU rRNA
Rfam family: Bacterial small subunit ribosomal RNA
Source: RNAcentral
GAUGAACGCUGGCGGCGUGCUUAACACAUGCAAGUCGAACGGAGAACCCUUGACGGAGUUUUCGGACAACGGAUAGGAAUUCUUAGUGGCGGACGGGUGAGUAACGCGUGAGGAACCUGCCUUGGAGAGGGGAAUAACACAGAGAAAUUUGUGCUAAUACCGCAUAAUGCAGCUGGGUCGCAUGGCUCUGGCUGCCAAAGAUUUUAUCGCUCUGAGAUGGCCUCGCGUCUGAUUAGCUAGUUGGUGGGGCAACGGCCCACCAAGGCGACGAUCAGUAGCCGGACUGAGAGGUUGACCGGCCACAUUGGGACUGAGACACGGCCCAGACUCCUACGGGAGGCAGCAGUGGGGAAUAUUGGGCAAUGGGCGCAAGCCUGACCCAGCAACGCCGCGUGAAGGAAGAAGGCUUUCGGGUUGUAAACUUCUUUUAUUAAGGACGAAAACAAUGACGGUAC